CGAAUGUCGGCCAAUCUUCUUGA
RNAcentral lists this non-coding RNA (23 nucleotides) under Arabidopsis thaliana (thale cress). The record is from RNAcentral. Lineage: Eukaryota; Viridiplantae; Streptophyta; Magnoliopsida; Brassicales; Brassicaceae.